CCUACGGGAGGCUGCAGUAGGGAAUCUUCCACAAUGGGCGAAAGCCUGAUGGAGCAACGCCGCGUGGGUGAAGAAGGUCUUCGGAUCGUAAAACCCUGUUGUUAGAGAAGAAAGUGCGUGAGAGUAACUGUUCACGUUUCGACGGUAUCUAACCAGAAAGCCACGGCUAACUACGUGCCAGCAGCCGCGGUAAUACGUAGGUGGCAAGCGUUAUCCGGAUUUAUUGGGCGUAAAGGGAACGCAGGCGGUCUUUUAAGUCUGAUGUGAAAGCCUUCGGCUUAACCGGAGUAGUGCAUUGGAAACUGGGAGACUUGAGUGCAGAAGAGGAGAGUGGAACUCCAUGUGUAGCGGUGAAAUGCGUAGAUAUAUGGAAGAACACCAGUGGCGAAAGCGGCGCGCUGGUCUGUAACUGACGCUGAGGUUCGAAAGCGUGGGUAGCAAACAGGAGUAGAUACCCCUGUAGUC
RNAcentral lists this ribosomal RNA (465 nucleotides) under uncultured bacterium. Its description in RNAcentral is "partial 16S ribosomal RNA". It matches the Rfam family "Bacterial small subunit ribosomal RNA", at positions 338 to 795 of the family's 1533-position model. The record is from RNAcentral.